This is a non-coding RNA of Rattus norvegicus (Norway rat), 70 nucleotides long. Lineage: Eukaryota; Metazoa; Chordata; Mammalia; Rodentia; Muridae. The record is from Rfam.
GGGGAUUUAGCUCAGUGGUAGAGUGCUUGCCUAGCGAGCGCAAGGGCCCUGGGUUCAGUCCCCAGCUCCG